UACGUAGGGUGCGAGCGUUGUCCGGAAUUAUUGGGCGUAAAGGGCUCGUAGGCGGUUUGUCGCGUCGGGAGUGAAAUCCUCGGGCUUAACUCGGGGCUUGCUUUCGAUACGGGCAGACUAGAGGUAUGCAGGGGAGAACGGAAUUCCUGGUGUAGCGGUGAAAUGCGCAGAUAUCCGGAGGAACACCGGUGGCGAAGGCGGUUCUCUGGGCAUGAUCUGACGCUGAGGAGCGAAAGUGUGGGGAGCGAACAGG
Molecule: ribosomal RNA, 253 nt
Filed under: uncultured bacterium
Lineage: Bacteria
Description: partial 16S ribosomal RNA
Rfam family: Bacterial small subunit ribosomal RNA
Source: RNAcentral